CUGCUGUUCUGCUGCUCUUCUACAAAAAGAGGACUGAGCACUCUGAUGGUUCUAACAAGAGAGGAACCACAGACAUCACCAGGACUGAGAUUGACCUGUAUGAGAACUGUCCUCCACCCUCCACCCAUGCAGACUCCACCUACCAGAGUCUGGAUCCGGCCUCCAGGGAUCCG
Long non-coding RNA from Etheostoma spectabile (orangethroat darter), 173 nucleotides. RefSeq lists it as uncharacterized. The transcript is spliced from 3 exons. The record is from RefSeq and is a predicted model, not a curated record. Lineage: Eukaryota; Metazoa; Chordata; Actinopteri; Perciformes; Percidae.